GACUAACGCUGGCGGCGUGCCUAACACAUGCAAGUCGGACGGGGGUAGCAAUACCCCAGUGGCAGACGGGUGAGUAACGCGUAGAUAACGUGUCCCAAUGUUCGGGAUAGCCACUGGAAACGGUGGGUAAUACCGGGUGUGGUCUUCCUGCGGCCUCGCAGGGAGAAGAAAGCAGCAAUGCGCAGUGGGAGCGGUCUGCGUCCUAUUAGCUAGUUGGUGGGGUAAUGGCCUACCAAGGCUGCGAUGGGUAGCCGGUCUGAGAGGAUGAUCGGCCACACUGGCACUGAGAUACGGGCCAGACUCCUACGGGAGGCAGCAGUGAGGGAUUUUGCGCAAUGGGCGAAAGCCUGACGCAGCGACGCCGCGUGCGGGAUGAAGGUCUUCGGAUUGUAAACCGCUGUCAGUGGGAAGAGCAAGGACGGUAACCCGGCUGAGGAAGCUUCGGCUAACUACGUGCCAGCAGCCGCGGUAAU
This 473-nucleotide ribosomal RNA is filed under the name uncultured bacterium. RNAcentral describes it as "bacterial SSU rRNA". It matches the Rfam family "Bacterial small subunit ribosomal RNA", at positions 28 to 524 of the family's 1533-position model. The record is from RNAcentral.